UCAAACAGCGUAAUUCUCAUACACAUACAUAAUGAGUACAUGUCAAAAUUUUAUUUUGAUUCAUUAGUGAGAUAACCAGGUGUAUGAGAGGAACUGAUGUAUGUAUGGUUAGCAUGAAAAAAAAAUGUGGAAUGAGAUCACUAAAUGAGAUGCAAAACUGGUUACUUUUCUUCCAGGCAAUAAAACUAUAACCUUCAAUGUCAUGAUCUCUAACAAGGAGAAGUCAUUUUUAUCUCUACAGGAAAAAAAUCAUUUGUAACAUUAUUGGGUAACACCAGUUGUAUCUUAAUAGUUUUCAACAAAUUCACAGCUAAUCUUAGAGAGAGGUAAAAUAAUGGAUUAAGAGUAAAUAGUCAAAAUUACAUUGUUCUGGAAAGUCAAGUGACUCUGAGGCAGGCUUGACAAUGAAAAUCAUGCAUCUUUUGUGCUUUAUUUCCAAAUUUUGGACUUUUUUUUCCUUGAAGAGAGAAGCAACCAGGAGAGAACCUGCUGUGGGUACACAAGCCCAGGAGGCACAGCCAGACUUCUGUCAGUUUGAAGCAGCACGGGCAAGGAGAUAUUUGUGGAAACUUCCAAGAAGACAAGUGGAAUGGAAUGAGAUGUUUUCUCUCAUGGAUGGGAGAUAAAUCAUAGUGCUUUCUUUCAGUGAUGAUGCAGAGUUUGUAGCUGCAGGAAAGAAACAACAGACAGGAAAUGUUUUCUGUUGGAAUUUUUGAAAGGUGUUCAUUCUGCUCCGGGGUCUUCGGAAAAACAGGUUAGUGACUGACCAAAGGGAAAGAAGGAAAAGGGCUGGAGUUCGUGGCUGAACUCCACGUAGUGGUGAAGGCAAACACAGACCCCUGGCUGAAAGUAUCACACACAACUCUGAAAAUAAAAUGUUAUUGGCUCAAGUCUGAAGCUGUCACUUUCCACUGAAAUGGAAUAUAUUGCUCAGAGAAGAGAUGCACCAAAUAUUAUGCAGUUUGCCUUUGGGGAAAGAAAAAAAAUAACACCCACUUAUAAAAACACUUUUUGGGGAUGAAGGAUUUGAUUUCAACUGAUGAGUCAUUACUGUGUUUUUUACCACUAAGCCAAAAAAAUGAUGUUUUUUAAGAAGCAUUUCUUGAAGCAAAUUCUUCCAUUGCUUAGGUUUCUCUCAUCUAAGAGAGAAGGUGUCCUAAGCACUUAUAUCCAGAAGCUUCCCAGUUUGCAUGGAGAUACUGUGGGACAAGAUUCCUAGCUACCAAGUUCCAGAUUCAUCAUGAAAAAGCAACCUCAAGAUAACAUUUAUGAUCUAGAAGCAAGAAGUUAACAAGAAAAUUAAUUCUAAACAAAUUUCAAUGCAUGAAGAUUAUGUUUGAAAACGACACAGUGGAUGUCAGAAAGGCAAAGGAAUUUAAGACAGCUUGGUGAACACUGUAGUGGAGGCCACCAUAUAUCUUGGGUUAGUGUGGACAACAGUCCUAGUUUAUGCAUAGAAAGCAUCCUCUUUCACUCUCAAAAAUGUCUUGCUUUUGACAGUGAUUUAUGGUCACCUUAGAUGUAGUUUUAAAAUAUGUCUGCAGAUGCUUCAAUGCUCUUACCAUCAAGAAGUCUAUGUCCCUUCCCCUUGAAAGUGGGUGGGCUUUUGUGACCACCAGGGUGAGCUGUGUGUGACUGCAGAGGCAUGACCUGACUUCCAAGCCCAGGUGAGAAAAGACCAAGCAACUUCUGGUUUGUCUUGGGGAAUUUGCUCUGGGAGCCAUCAGCCACCCUGUAAGAAGCCUAGCCUCCCAGGAGCCACUACCCUGGAGGGACACAUGGAGAGAGCAGGGAAUGAAAGCAGAAGACGCCCACGAGGCCAGUUGUGCCAGCCCCAGCCAUUCGCAUCUUCCCAGUCCAGGCAUCCAGUGCAUGAGUGAGCGAGGCUUCAGGGUGACUCCAGCUCCGGCCCUCAUCUGACCACAGCUGCGUGAGAGAUGCCGAGGAGGGGCUGCUCUGCUAAGCCCAGGCAACCCUCAGGAGCUGAGAGAAAAUCAUCAGCGAUACUGUUCUUUUCUGUCAGUAUGCUUGAGACGGUUUGUUAUGCAGCAGUUGAUAACUCAGGUGCUGAGUGUGGGCUGGCCAAGCCCCCCGAAGGCCCUGCCAAGGGCGCGUCCAUUGCUGCCAGCGUUCACUGUGCUGCAUGGGCACUGGCUCCCACCAGCUGCCCCAGAGCCGGGCUCCCUGGGAGCCAGGGCCCGCUGUCUCGAAUGUUCUCUCCCCACAUCUUCCAGGUCCCAGCUUAAAAAUCCCUCCUGAUAAGGUCUUAGCUCUCAUAGCCACUUGUGAGAGAUUGCAUUUUCCAAAAAUCACCACAGCCUCAUUUCUGAUCCUACAUCCUGUUUUAAAACCUUGUCUUUCCCUAUCAAGAGGUGCAGUCUACUUCCCCUCCCUUUGAAACUGUGCAGGACUCAGACUCUGAUGAUAUGGUUCAACUGUGCUCUCUCUCAGGGUGCACGCCCUGGGAGCCCAGCCACCGCGGAGGGAAGCCCAGGCUCUAUGGAGAGGCCACAUGUGUGCGUUCCAUCUGAUAGCGCCAGCUGAGGUCCCAGCAGACAGCCGUGCUGACCUGCCGGCAGGGGAGUGAUGUUCCUUCAAACAGGUCCAGCACCCAGCUUUUGAGCCACCCCAACAGAACAAGGAUGAGCUGUCCCUGUUGA
Non-coding RNA from Manis javanica (Malayan pangolin), 2660 nucleotides. The record is from RefSeq and is a predicted model, not a curated record. NCBI's taxonomy places the organism in Eukaryota, Metazoa, Chordata, Mammalia, Pholidota, Manidae.